Molecule: RNA transcript, 3788 nt
Organism: Limulus polyphemus (Atlantic horseshoe crab)
Lineage: Eukaryota; Metazoa; Arthropoda; Merostomata; Xiphosura; Limulidae
Gene name: L-asparaginase-like
Exons: 17
Source: RefSeq, a predicted model, not a curated record
UAUAAGAUUAAACUUAAGAUUGUAUAACAGAGAACUAAAGGAGAAGAUCUCAGUUAUUACAGCUAGUUGUGAAGUUUUUGUUAUUUUUAUAUUUAUUUUUUAAAUAAUAUGCCAUUAAGUUAAGCUAAGAUAGACACUAACUGAAUAAGUUAAAGAAAGCUAACUUUGUUAGAAUUACAUAUUCGGUAAUAAGAAAUUAAGAUUAAGACCAGUGGUAGUCUUGCAUCGUACUGAGUGAUUCGUUGACUUCUUUUUGAUUAAUUGGAAUGGAAGAAAAUAAAGAUCUGAAAGAUGAUGAGAAGGUUGUGGCAAAAGUAAACCCAACUAUAACAGAAGGAAGUCAAUGUAACUGUGUGGAAGUUAAUCUGGAUAGUGAAGAAAAGGAAUGCAAAGACUGUAUUCAAAUUGAUCCAUUUUAUGCACCUAAAGUUUUGAGAAAAAAUUGUUCUGUAGGAAAUCUUAAUUUGGAAGGAAACAAUGAAGCUAGGGUGCUGGUUCUUUAUACUGGUGGGACAAUUGGAAUGGUACGAUCUGAAAAAGGAGUGUAUGUUCCUCAGUCCAAUAUUUUAGAAUCCAAUCUUAAGAAGUUUCCCCAGCUUCAUGAUGAUUCAUAUGCACGAGAAAGUUUCCCUGCCAAUAGCAGAAAGGUCCCACUAGUUCUCCCGGAAACUGGUGAUCCAAAACGUGUUGUGUACACCAUCUUUGAAUAUGAUCCUUUGCUAGACUCGUCUAACAUGACUAUGGAUGAUUGGAUACAUAUUGCCUUAGAUAUCAAGCAAGCAUAUGAAGAGUUUGAUGGCUUUGUUAUACUUCAUGGUACAGAUACAUUGGCUUAUACAGCAUCUGCUCUUUCUUUUAUGUUGGAGAACCUUGGAAAGACGGUCAUUCUUACAGGUUCCCAGAUUCCUUUAUUUGAACCACGGAGUGAUGGGAGAGAGAAUUUUCUCAGCUCACUUAUAAUUGCUGGAAAUUAUACUAUUCCAGAGGUUACUGUUCUUUUUAACAAUCAACUUUUUCGAGGGAAUCGAACAAGCAAAAUUAGUACCAGCAGCUUGGAUGCUUUUGGAUCCCCAAAUCUGGCUUCUCUUGCAACUGUUGGAAUCAAAAUACAUAUUCAAUGGCAGAAUGUCUUUCAACCUACAACAAUUGAAGAGUUUUGUGUUCAUGACAAGCUAAAUCGCCAUGUUGGUCUGCUGCGUUUAUUUCCUAGUAUUACGGUUGAAGUGGUGAGGGCUUUUCUGAUGCCUCCCAUACGAGGAGUUGUUCUUCAGACAUAUGGAGCAGGUAAUGGCCCCACCCAUAGACGUGAUCUACUAGAUGAACUGAAAAGGGCCUCUCAAAGGGGUGUUAUAAUUGUAAAUUGUACUCAGUGCUGUAGUGGUAGAGUUGAUCCAUUUUAUGAAACUGGAAAUGCUUUGAUGGACAUUGGAGUUGUACCAGGCUCAGACAUGACACCAGAAGCAGCCCUUACUAAGCUAGGAUAUGUACUUAGCAAGUCUGAAUGGUCCCACCAGAUGAAGAGAAAGAUGAUGCAGACUAACUUAAGAGGUGAGCUUACUGUCGGAAAGGAUAUAAAGCUUGAAGACAAGGAUUUAAUUACCGGAAUUAUCACAGCCAUGAGGCUGUCAUCAGCUGAAGAAGUUGAUGCUCUUCGAAGUGCUCUUUAUCCUUCUAUUCUCUGUACUGUGGCUGCUAAGGGAGACCUUGAAAAGCUUGAAAUUAUGAGGCAGUUUGGAGCCUACCUCUCUGCAUGUGACUAUGAUUUUCGCACUCCACUACACAUUGCCGCAUCAGAGGGUAACCAAGAAAUUGUAGAGUAUCUCCUUAAGCAUGGGGCCAGUGUGCACAUGAGGGACCGAGAGCAUAAGACACCCCUACAAAAUGCUGUUGAGUUUGAUUAUCAUGAAAUCAUUAAAAUACUGAGAAAGGCUGGCAGCCAUCUUACUCUGCCGCCUUUGGUUUUGGCAGACUGUGUAAUAAAUGCUGCUAAACGUAACGAUGUUAGAAGAUUGACCUCUUAUUCGCUAGCUGGAGUGAAUUUGAGUGAACCUGAUGGUUGUGGUCGUACAGCACUUCAUGUGUACACAGUAGAACUGAAGCACUGGAAACAGAGAAAAAGAGAUCCAUAGCUGUGACUGUGUAUCAACAUUCUGAAUGGAGAACUAUGGUGCAGCACCUGAAGAAUAUAUGAUGAUGGAACUGAACCAUUGGUUACUGAACUUCUCCUACUGUGCCAAGUUAGUUACAUUUGGAUUCGUACUCUGUUCCAGUGGCUUCUGGUGACUACUAAGGUAACACUGUCCCUUCACUGUGGGGAAUAAACUUAAGGAUGAGACUGAUUUCUAGUGACUACUAAGGUAACACUGUCCCUUCACUGUGGGGAAUAAACUUAAGAAUGAAACUGAUUUCUGGUGACUACUAAGGUAACACUGUCCCUUCACUGUGGGGAAUAAACUUAAGAAUGAGAUUGAUUUCUGAUGACUACUAAGGUAACACUGUCCCUUCAUUGUGGGGAAUAAACUUAAGAAUGAAACUGGUUUCUGGUGACUACUAAGGUAACACUGUCCCUUCACUGUGGGGAAUAAACUUAAGAAUGAGACUGAUUUCUGGUGACUACUAAGGUAACACUGUCCCUUCACUGUGGGGAAUAAACUUAAGAAUGAGACUGAUUUCUGGUGACUACUAAGGUAACACUGUCCCUUCACUGUGGGGAAUAAACUUAAGAAUGAGACUGAUUUCUGGUGACUACUGAGGUAACACUGUCCCUUCACUGUGGGGAAUAAACUUAAGAAUGAGACUGAUCACAUUCACUGAAAAUGAAUCUGUUAGUCCUACAUUUUAUCUACUCGACUAUAUGUUAUCUCUUCUUCUUCUUCAUUAUUAUUUUUUUUGUCUAUAAAACGUCACCCUGUUUAUCCUUUUUUUUUCCCCAAAAGCUACUUGCAACCUUUUAAUACACAAAUGACUAGAGAAUUAUAUUAAACUCAAAUCUAGUUCACUUAAUGAAAGCACUCCAAUAAAACCACAGAUAAACACAUGCAGAAUGACUUCUAUUUGCAUUUUAUUCCAUAUUGUAAAAAAAGGGCUCCUGUGAAACAGAGGAAUAGCUUUAAUAAUAAUUAAUGUCCAAGUUUAAAUAUUUUCCAACACAUUUUUUGGAACAAAAAUUGAUUUGGAUCCCAGAUCUGUUAUUCAACAUUGGCCUUUGACAAAGUUUAGCAACAGUUUUUUGUAAUGCGUUUCACACAGUUUAAAGGACUCAUCUUAUGUAUCAUGUAAUGGAAAGAAGUUAUUUUAUUAUGUAGAAUAAAAGUUUAAUUUUGAAUCUAUCUGCUAAGAUUUGAGAUUCACUUUUUGUAAGGUUUACUUUUUAUUUAUUUAGAUUUGACAAAUUGUUUAUCAAACCAUAGCUGCUUGGUCAGCUGUAAAGAUUUUUAUCCUGUUAUUCUUCUUUAUAAUUUUAAAAAAUAUCGGGAUACAUUUCUCUACAGCUUUUCAAGGUGUCUUUCUUUGUAGUUGUAGAGGGUAUCCUAGCCUGUUUCUUUGUAGAUUUCUAGUUUAUUUUGGUGUCUUUCUUUUGCUUUAUAGACUAGCAGGAUAUUAUUUGCAUCUGUAGAUGAUAUUUCUAUAGAUUUUCUUUAUAACCCUAUGGGCUAUAUAGGUAUUUUCCUUCACACAUCAGCAAGAUAUUUGUUAUAUCUCUGGAAGAUAUUCAGAAAAACCAAUCUAUGUAGCCCCAGUAUCUACUAAUAGAAAUCAUGAUUUAUUCUAACUUUUUUUUAUCAUUG